GAUGUUGAACACUUUCUGACUCAACAGUUAGCUAUUAAAGUUCAGUGUGUGUGAGUUCAAAAAGUGUAAAAAUCAAGUUAUUUUUGCAAAUAAAUUACACACUUCACCUUUACCGCAGGUAGUUCACUAUGAGGGGCACUUGUACCAUUUCAGUGAGACAUACAGUACAGAGUGUAUAAAACAAUAGUGAUAAAUGAACUCAUAUACACACGCACUUAUUCACUGUCACACACACACACACACACACACACACACACACACACACACACACACACACAGAUCGAUGCAUGUGAUCAGUGAGGACAGAUGUUUUCUAUUUCAAAAGGCAGUACAAUACUUACAAACCCUUAUUCAAAUAAAUAACA
Molecule: long non-coding RNA, 365 nt
Organism: Cyprinus carpio (common carp)
Lineage: Eukaryota; Metazoa; Chordata; Actinopteri; Cypriniformes; Cyprinidae
Exons: 2
Source: RefSeq, a predicted model, not a curated record